Molecule: non-coding RNA, 484 nt
Organism: Peromyscus maniculatus bairdii (prairie deer mouse)
Lineage: Eukaryota; Metazoa; Chordata; Mammalia; Rodentia; Cricetidae
Source: RefSeq, a predicted model, not a curated record
ACAUAUCAUUCUGCAGAGACAACUGGAAGUUUUGAUCUGUGCCAAUGGAACACCCUUCACUGCGAGGGCUGUUGGAGGACAUAAGUGAAAAUAUGUGUAAGAUCAACUAUUCAAGAGCUUUAAGAAUCUGUGAGACUGACAUGCAAUAAUGUGACACAAAGAUUUUCAAGCAAUGUCAUAAGACAAUUGAAAGACGAUGCAGACAUCUUCAGCUCCUUCACUGUUGUUGUUUGGUACUGUAAGCUAAUGUUCUUCAAACGCUCAUCCUGAAUUAUUUCCACGACUAAAAUGCUAUCGACAAGGGUUCAAACUUGUUAGCCAAGUUGUUCCUCCAUCAACCUAACAGGAAGCUAGUUAAAGAGAACAACACGUAGAAACUGUGUGUAAACACCCAGUGGUUCUGUUUUCCAGAAGCUCGUGCACUUUGAAGAAUGAGAAGCAAGAGUUCCUUGAGCUGGGUGGGCAUGAAAGUUAUGUCUUCCAU